CAGAGAAUAGUUUAUUUAAAAUAUUAGUUUUGGGGAUUAAUGAUAGGGAGGUUCUCUUUCUCUGA
Molecule: transfer RNA, 65 nt
Filed under: Acroneuria carolinensis
Lineage: Eukaryota; Metazoa; Arthropoda; Insecta; Plecoptera; Perlidae
Description: tRNA-Pro
Source: RNAcentral